Molecule: long non-coding RNA, 1167 nt
Filed under: Equus caballus (horse)
Lineage: Eukaryota; Metazoa; Chordata; Mammalia; Perissodactyla; Equidae
Description: lncRNA (ENSECAG00000048742.1)
Source: RNAcentral
AGGGGGCAGUUGCGGGACAUCAGCAGCAUGUCGUUGGUGGGGGACCAUUAAAGCCACAUGUUAGGACCCAGGGAGUGGGGCUCAGGGCAGCAGCAGCAUAGCCCCAUCAAUGAUUCAUAGCCAUGGCCUGGGACCUGAGGGUGGAGCUCAGGGCAGCAUCAGUGUGGUCCUGGUGAUGGUCAAAUCAUGACCUAGGACCCAGGGAGUGGGGCUCAGGGCAGCAGAGGCUGCCCCUGUAAUAGUGGAACAAAGCUGUGCCCUGAGACUGAGGGCGGGGCUCAGGGCAGGUGCAGCUGCCAUCUUGAUUUGGUGAGGUGCUGUGGUGUCCUGAUCCCAGAGAGCAAGGCACAGCAGCAACUGGGGCCUCUGAGGGCAGGGCUCAUCGCAGUGACAGAUCAGCUCUGGGAAGGGGACACCGAGGUGAGGGCUCUGGGCAGCUCCAUCAGCUGGGAUCAGCGUUGGUGUAGACUGUGGAAGAACUCGCUGCAGGGGCUACAAACUUCCACAGGGACAAUGUUCUAUGACUCACCUUUGAAAUGAGAAUUUAUCAGCUUAGGGAUUCUUCUCUUUGAAUUGUCGGAAUAAGAAUAAACAUAACACCCCAAAGUCCUGUUUCCAUAGUCCUUGGCCCAUCACAAAGAUGGAGCCCAGCCUCACUGUUUGGAGAGGCUCUCAAGGCCACUGCCCCUUGAAUUCUGUGAUUGCCAUCUGCUUUUACAAGAGUCGACUGAAGGUGAUGCUUUAGACCCAGGAAGAUGUUGGAAAGCUGCACAGCCUGUGUCUUUGGACCCACAGAGACUGAUGUGAAUGUUAAGGCAAGAUGUCUUAUUUUUACUUUUUCUCCUGGUGCAGGGCGUCAAUUAGGAGGAUGAAGAACCACAGAAACUGAGCUCAGCGCCGGGCUCAUGUGGGCAGCGGGUAACUCACUUUCCGAUAACGCUCUGCGGUUUGCCUCGGCUCUGCCCCAGAUACUGAAUCUCUGUUCACAUCCAGCAGGGCCAGAUGGCGUUCCCAGGCCCACAGGGAAGUUAAUAUCUGUGCAGUGGUUUGUUUAAAAGUUUGAAUCUGAUUCUGUGAUUCAAGCCAGUAGUGUCAAACUUUAGCCAGGGGUGGCUUUUUCGGGGGAGCUUGGAGGGGUGAGAAGUUAUCCAAAUAUUGUGACAUGGG